AGUGAACGCUGGCGGUAGGCCUAACACAUGCAAGUCGAACGGCAGCACAGUAAGAGCUUGCUCUUACGGGUGGCGAGUGGCGGACGGGUGAGGAAUACAUCGGAAUCUACUUUUUCGUGGGGGAUAACGUAGGGAUACUUACGCUAAUACCGCAUACGACCUACGGGUGAAAGCAGGGGAUCUUCGGACCUUGCGCGAUUGAAUGAGCCGAUGUCGGAUUAGCUAGUUGGCGGGGUAAAGGCCCACCAAGGCGACGAUCCGUAGCUGGUCUGAGAGGAUGAUCAGCCACACUGGAACUGAGACACGGUCCAGACUCCUACGGGAGGCGGCAGUGGGGAAUAUUGGACAAUGGGCGCAAGCCUGAUCCAGCCAUACCGCGUGGGUGAAGAAGGCCUUCGGGUUGUAAAGCCCUUUUGUUGGGAAAGAAAAGCAGCAGGUUAAUACCCCGCUGUUCUGACGGUACCCAAAGAAUAAGCACCGGCUAACUUCGUG
This 492-nucleotide ribosomal RNA is filed under the name uncultured bacterium. RNAcentral's name for it is "partial 16S ribosomal RNA". It matches the Rfam family "Bacterial small subunit ribosomal RNA", at positions 29 to 507 of the family's 1533-position model. The record is from RNAcentral.